CAAGAGCUCUAGACUUGAUACCCACCGUUCUUUUUGCCGGCGGCCCUAAGUCACCAGGUAACUCAUCAUGGCGAUGCCCCCUAAACGGCGGGCAGUGGAGGCCACGGGGGAGAAAGUGCUGCGCUACGAGACUUUCAUCAGUGACGUGCUACAGCAGGACCUGAGAAAGGUGCUGGACCAUCGAGACCAGGUAUAUGAGCAGCUGGCCAAAUACCUUCAACUGAGAAAUGUCAUUGAACAACUCCAGGAAGCUAAACACUCGGAAUUAUAUAUGCAGGUGGAUUUGGGCUGUAACUUCUUCGUUGACACAGUGGUCCCAGAUACUUCAUGAAUCUAUGUGGCCCUGGGAUAUGGCUUUUUCCUGGAGUUGACACUGGCAGAAGCCCUCAAGUUCAUUGAUCGUAAGAGUUCUCUCCUCACAGAGCUCAGCGACAGCCUCACCAAGGACUCCAUGAAUAUCAAAGCUCAUAUCCACAUGUUGCUAGAGGGGCUUAGAGAAAUACAAGGCCUGCAGAAUUUCCCAGAGAAGCCUCACCAUUGACUUUUUUCCUCCAUUCUCUGACAUUAAAGACUCCUAAUGCC
This is an RNA transcript of Nycticebus coucang (slow loris), 582 nucleotides long. It is a transcript of the gene named protein UXT-like, with no coding region annotated. Lineage: Eukaryota; Metazoa; Chordata; Mammalia; Primates; Lorisidae. The record is from RefSeq and is a predicted model, not a curated record. The transcript has a single exon.